GAUGAACGCUGGCGGCGUGCCUAAUACAUGCCAGUCGAGCGAACAGACGAGGAGCUUGCUCCUCUGACGUUAGCGGCGGACGGGUGAGUAACACGUGGAUAACCUACCUAUAAGACUGGGAUAACUUCGGGAAACCGGAGCUAAUACCGGAUAAUAUAUUGAACCGCAUGGUUCAAUAGUGAAAGACGGUUUUGCUGUCACUUAUAGAUGGAUCCGCGCCGCAUUAGCUAGUUGGUAAGGUAACGGCUUACCAAGGCGACGAUGCGUAGCCGACCUGAGAGGGUGAUCGACCACACUGGAACUGAGAAACGGUCCAGACUCCUACGGGAGGCAGCAGUAGGGAAUCUUCCGCAAUGGGCGAAAGCCUGACGGAGCAACGCCGCGUGAGUGAUGAAGGUCUUCGGAUCGUAAAACUCUGUUAUUAGGGAAGAACAAAUGUGUAAGUAACUAUGCACGUCUUGACGGUACCUAAUCAGAAAGCCACGGCUAACUACGUG
RNAcentral lists this ribosomal RNA (497 nucleotides) under uncultured bacterium. RNAcentral's name for it is "partial 16S ribosomal RNA". It matches the Rfam family "Bacterial small subunit ribosomal RNA", at positions 28 to 507 of the family's 1533-position model. The record is from RNAcentral.